This 573-nucleotide long non-coding RNA is filed under the name Ursus americanus (American black bear). RNAcentral describes it as "lncRNA (ENSUAMG00000006037.1)". The record is from RNAcentral. Lineage: Eukaryota; Metazoa; Chordata; Mammalia; Carnivora; Ursidae.
UUUCAUUCCACAUUUCACUUAGGCCCUGCAUGGUCUAACCUUCCUGGCAUCUCCGUGGCUCUUGGAGGCUCCAUUUGUCCACCGACAACCCACCAGAGAAGGGGGUAGCUGUGAGCCGUUGACAGCUGACAUCCGAAGCAGGUGAGGAACUGGCUGCACCAGCUGGCAGAGGAUCUGAACAAGGCAGCUACGACCCUGUGGAGGAAAAUUCAUGUUUUCUGGAACUUGCUGAACCAUGUUGUUGCUGAGGGGCCCGCAUGCCAGGGCACCACGAAAGAGCCACGUCCGCGCCACUGCCAGGCAUCCCGAGUCUGGGCAUCAGGACUGAGAAGAAGGGCUUUUUAAAAAGAGACAGAUGGGCUGCCUGGGUGGCUCAGUCACGUAAGUGUCCGACUUUUGAUUUCAGCUUGGGUCAUUACCUCAGGCUGGUGGGAUGGAGCCCCGAGUUGGGCUCCAUGCUUGGAGGGGAGUCUGCCUGAGUUUCUCUCCGUCCCUCUCCCUAUGCCCCUCCCCCCUGCUCUCUCUCCCUCUCUCUCAAAUAAAUACAUCUUUUUAAAAAAUAAAAAAAGAGAC